AUUGAACGCUGGCGGCAGGCCUAACACAUGCAAGUCGAACGGUAACACGAAGCGGCUUGCUGCUUCGCUGUAGCGUGGCGGGCGUGUGAAACAUGUGUAGGACACAGCUUGAUGGCGGGGGAAACCUACUGAAAACGGUAGCAAAUACCGCAUAACGUCGCAAGCCCAAGGAGCGGGACCUUAGGGCCUCUUGCCAUCGGCUGUGCCCAGAUGGGAUUAGCUAGUAGGUAGGGUAACGGCUUACCUAGGCGACGAUCCCUAGCUGGUCUGAGAGGAUGACCAGCCACACUGGAACUGAGACACGGUCCAGACUCCUACGGGAGGCAGCAGUGGGGAAUAUUGCACAAUGGGCGCAAGCCUGAUGCAGCCACGCCGCGUGUAUGAAGAAGGCCUUCGGGUUGUAAAGUACUUUCAGCGGGGAGGAAGGGAGUAAAGUGAAUACCUGCGCUCAUUGACGUUACCCGCAGAAGAAGCACCGGCUAACUCCGUG
This 490-nucleotide ribosomal RNA is filed under the name uncultured bacterium. RNAcentral describes it as "partial 16S ribosomal RNA". It matches the Rfam family "Bacterial small subunit ribosomal RNA", at positions 30 to 507 of the family's 1533-position model. The record is from RNAcentral.